AGAAUCGGAGGACGGAACAGGCAGCCGUCGCCCAUUGUUAGAAGAUGCGGGAAUCGUCACCCCGCCUGAUUCU
Molecule: non-coding RNA, 73 nt
Submitted as: unclassified sequences
Source: Rfam